RNAcentral lists this ribosomal RNA (329 nucleotides) under uncultured eukaryote. RNAcentral describes it as "partial 18S ribosomal RNA". It matches the Rfam family "Eukaryotic small subunit ribosomal RNA", at positions 1470 to 1796 of the family's 1831-position model. The record is from RNAcentral.
CCCUUAGAUGUCCUGGGCCGCACGCGCGCUACACUGAGUGUCUGAGAUACGAGUCUGCCUGGUCCGGCAAGGUCUAGGUAAUCGCUAAAAGACACAUCAUGCUUGGGAUAGAUUUUUGCAAAUAUUAAUCUUGAACGAGGAAUUCCUAGUAAGCGCAAGUCAACAGCUUGCGUUGAUUACAUCCCUGCCCUUUGUACACACCGCCCGUCGCUACUACUGAUUGGAUGUUUAAGCGAGGUUCUCGAACUGCUAGCGACUUAGCUUCGGUGAGGUCGCAGUGUGGGAAGUGAACCUAGCUUUGGGGUCUAGAGGAAGUAAAAGUCGUAACA